Molecule: long non-coding RNA, 281 nt
Filed under: Sarcophilus harrisii (Tasmanian devil)
Lineage: Eukaryota; Metazoa; Chordata; Mammalia; Dasyuromorphia; Dasyuridae
Description: lncRNA (ENSSHAG00000025201.1)
Source: RNAcentral
ACACCUGUAAAAUGAACAUAAUGUCCUUGAACUACAUUUUCCCCAGGUUAUGAAGAUGAAAAUGACACAUGGGACAACAUGGUACGGGAGCCAGAGACCAGUUUAGGAGCCAAGAAUAAGAAAUGGACAGAACACUGCCCUCUUGGAUUCAGGGGCUUUUGUCUAACUACAAAUCUGUAAUCUCUACUCUCUUAAAAGGUAGGAUUCAAGUUGGAAAUUCCUGAAAUUUGAUUCCAGUUCUACUGAUCACAUUUGUAUGACAAUUGAAAAGUAAUAUUCCA